GUGGCGUUUUACAUAUAAACAUUACGGUACUCAAUGGACUCAGAAAUGAGACUUUAAAUCAAUAACAAUUGUUGGAAGCCCAAGCUGAAGUCUACGCUCUUCGUAAGGCAAACAGGUUGUACCUUCUCAAGUUUUAUAAUAUCUUGUUCUUAAGACAGACAUUGUAUAUUUAAAUUGGACUUCAUUCGAAAUGGGCUGGACUCUGGCCUAAUGGGCGUUCCUGAUGCUCAUGACGUGAUGUAGACAAAGAAGACAACUAUCAGGAGGAAAGAAUGUCGGGACUCAAUCGUGAAAGGGCAACAGAACUUAUCAAUUAUUCAUAGAUAGCCAAAAAUUGUGUCACUCAUCAAGCUUCCAAAAAUUCUGGAUAUGAAGUUAAUUGAAAUAUAGUGUAAAUUUUAUUUUUUAAAUGUUUUCCUCUGCAAUAAUCUCAAGAAUAAUGUUAGCAAUAAUUGUUGUAGGCAUUAUGUUUAUUAAUAUUGUAUUAUGACUGCUAAUGUUUAUCUUAUUAAUAUGAGAAAGUAACCCGUUUGUUGUAAAGAAUGUAGACAUGUAAGAUAAGAUAUAAAAUUUUGAGGAUUAAAAUCAGAUUUAUUGAUUUUUGAUAGAUGUACAUGAUAUAGGCCUACAGUAUAUAAUUAUAAAAGUAUCACAACUUGAUUUCAAUGCUUGAAAAUAAAUAUAUAAUAAAUGGAAUUGUGCAUUUCUUCUCAUUAUUUAAUGUCCAUGUUUACUGUAAUAAAUUCAAGAGCUAAAAUAUCCUUAUUAUUAUAUGCUUAUAAGCUUAAACCAAAAGUGACGAAUUGUUUCGUCAAUAUGUGCUACUUUAUCUAUUAAACUAGCAAUUCUUUCGAGGACGCCCUCAACAAAAACAUAAAACCGGAAAUGACGUGGUUGCUAAGUAACAAGCU
Anneissia japonica is the source of this 911-nucleotide long non-coding RNA. RefSeq lists it as uncharacterized. Lineage: Eukaryota; Metazoa; Echinodermata; Crinoidea; Comatulida; Comatulidae. The transcript has 4 exons. The record is from RefSeq and is a predicted model, not a curated record.